Molecule: ribosomal RNA, 400 nt
Filed under: unidentified beta proteobacterium K8
Lineage: Bacteria; Pseudomonadati; Pseudomonadota; Betaproteobacteria
Description: bacterial SSU rRNA
Rfam family: Bacterial small subunit ribosomal RNA
Source: RNAcentral
ACUCCUGGUGGCGAGUGGCGAACGGGUGAGUAAUACAUCGGAACGUGCCCUGUGGUGGGGGAUAACUAGUCGAAAGAUUAGCUAAUACCGCAUACGACCUGAGGGUGAAAGCGGGGGACCGUAAGGCCUCGCGCGAUAGGAGCGGCCGAUGUCUGAUUAGCUAGUUGGUGAGGUAAGAGCUCACCAAGGCGACGAUCAGUAGCUGGUCUGAGAGGACGAUCAGCCACACUGGGACUGAGACACGGCCCAGACUCCUACGGGAGGCAGCAGUGGGGAAUUUUGGACAAUGGGGGCAACCCUGAUCCAGCAAUGCCGCGUGUGUGAAGAAGGCCUUCGGGUUGUAAAGCACUUUUGUCCGGAAAGAAAUCCCCUGGGCUAAUACCUCGGGGGAUGACGGUAC